RNAcentral lists this transfer-messenger RNA (344 nucleotides) under Erysipelotrichaceae bacterium. It matches the Rfam family "transfer-messenger RNA". Rfam says of the family: Bacterial tmRNA, also known as 10Sa RNA or SsrA, is named for its dual tRNA and mRNA-like properties. Its role is to liberate the mRNA from a stalled ribosome. To accomplish this part of the tmRNA is used as a reading frame that ends in a translation stop signal. Lineage: Bacteria; Bacillati; Bacillota; Erysipelotrichia; Erysipelotrichales; Erysipelotrichaceae. The record is from RNAcentral.
GGGGUUGACAUUGGUUUCGACAGGUCUAGCCUGAUUUAAAUUGCAGUGGAGUGAUGACCUAAUCAUCAAACUAAAUUAAACGCAAACAGACAAGUUGCAUUUGCCUAGUAUAACCUAAAGACUGGUUUGGCAGCUUCUAACUGUAAAGAUCAUAGCAGUUAGUCGUAAACAUGAUCUAGGUGAAGUGAGUUCCGCUUUAUCUCACCAUCCGAAAACCGAAUAAGCAAAUUCAAUGUUGAGGUAGUUUAAGCCAUAACAUUGUCUUAACAAAGUUAAACUAAACUGUAGACAUUUAAAUGUGAGACUAUUCUUGGACGAGAGUUCGAAUCUCUCCAGCUCCACCA